Molecule: ribosomal RNA, 373 nt
Filed under: uncultured organism
Description: partial 16S ribosomal RNA
Rfam family: Bacterial small subunit ribosomal RNA
Source: RNAcentral
GUAGGUGGCAAGCGUUGUCCGGAAUUAUUGGGCGUAAAGCGCGCGCAGGCGGUUCUUUAAGUCUGAUGUGAAAGCCCACGGCUCAACCGUGGAGGGUCAUUGGAAACUGGAGAACUUGAGUACAGAAGAGGAAAGCGGAAUUCCACGUGUAGCGGUGAAAUGCGUAGAGAUGUGGAGGAACGCCAGUGGCGAAGGCGGCUUUCUGGUCUGUAACUGACGCUGAGGCGCGAAAGCGUGGGGAGCAAACAGGAUUAGAUACCCUGGUAGUCCACGCCGUAAACGAUGAGUGCUAAGUGUUAGGGGGGUUUCCGCCCCCCUUAGUGCUGCAGCUAACGCAUUAAGCACUCCGCCUGGGAGUACGGCCGCAAGGCUG